This 380-nucleotide ribosomal RNA is filed under the name uncultured bacterium. Its description in RNAcentral is "bacterial SSU rRNA". It matches the Rfam family "Bacterial small subunit ribosomal RNA", at positions 29 to 412 of the family's 1533-position model. The record is from RNAcentral.
AAUAAACGCUGGCGGCGUGCCUAACACAUGCAAGUCGAGCGAGAAAGCUCCUUCGGGAGUUAGUAAAGCGGCGAACGGGUGAGCAACACGUGAGAAUCUACCCUUUAGUGAAGAAUACCCUCGAGAAAUCGAGGCUAAUACUGCAUACGUCCCUUCGGGGAGAAAGAUGGCCUCUUUGCUAUCGCUAAAGGAUGAGCUUGCGUACUAUUAGCUAGUUGGCGGGGUAAAGGCCCACCAAGGCAAUGAAUGGUUAACCGGCCUGAGAGGGUGUACGGUCACACUGGAACUUAGACACGGUCCAGACUCCUACGGGAGGCAGCAGUGAGGAAUCUUGCGCAAUGGGCGAAAGCCUGACGCAGCGACGCCGCGUGGAGGAUGAC